RNAcentral lists this non-coding RNA (21 nucleotides) under Caenorhabditis elegans. The record is from RNAcentral. Lineage: Eukaryota; Metazoa; Nematoda; Chromadorea; Rhabditida; Rhabditidae.
UCAAUUGCUUGACAGCAAAAU